Molecule: non-coding RNA, 660 nt
Organism: Plutella xylostella (diamondback moth)
Lineage: Eukaryota; Metazoa; Arthropoda; Insecta; Lepidoptera; Plutellidae
Source: RefSeq, a predicted model, not a curated record
GGGUGAAUAUUUGGAGCGCUAAAUUUGUCAGUUUUCAUCGGGAGAAUAUACUUAUUUUUUCGAAUUUUGAGGCUAUAUUUGUAUGGUACAUGUAAAAUGAAAUUCUCUAUCAAGGCCUAUUUACAGUUUUACAACGAUUCAUAUAAAAUUAAAAAAAUGUAUGACCAGAUAACACUCAAAUCCCAUUUAUAUGGCGCGUCCAAACUCCAAUUUCGUAUACAUUUUAGUUCAUAAGUCUUACAAUGUUCGCUUUGAAAACAUUAAAAUAUAAAUCCUUUAUAUUUCAAUAUAUACUCGUGAAGUCCUUAAUAUUCAUUGUCCUCUAAAUAUAAUACAAUAAAAGUUAUUAAGCUUUUCAAAACGUCCGCACCAUAAAAACUAAUUUGUCUGGCCGUGUCUUUUCACGAACGCCACCAUUGAAGGGUUGAAUAUUUUUGAACUUGCGUUCGAGUUCAAUCAGGUCAGUCCACCGCCCGUCUGCCGGCAGAGUGCACCGUCCGCGUGCGAUUUGUGACGACGAUAAAUUGUGAUAGCAAGCAGAUAAUCUGGACUUUGUACGGCUGGUUUGGACACGUACUCAGGCGUACUGAAAACGUCCCAAAGGAAGCACUGACAUGGCAUCUCGAAGGCGGUAAACGAAGACUCGGCAGACCGCGAGUC